This 283-nucleotide long non-coding RNA is filed under the name Hordeum vulgare. Its description in RNAcentral is "long non-coding RNA (HVUL_LNC012848)". Lineage: Eukaryota; Viridiplantae; Streptophyta; Magnoliopsida; Poales; Poaceae. The record is from RNAcentral.
GGGUAGGGAAGCACGUGGUGGUGUUCGGCGGCGAGGUGGACCCCAGCGAUCUCGGCCACCUAGGCGCCGGCAAAUUCUCCGCCGAGGCCUUCGUGCUGGACACCGACACCGGCGCGUGGGCCAGGCUGGAUGACGCCGGGUCUGGUCACCACCCCGGUCCUCGGGGUUGGUGCGCGUUCUCGGCGGGGGCGCUCGACGGCCGGCGAGGCAUGCUUGUCUACGGCGGCAACUCGCCGACCAACGACCGGCUUGGCGACAUGUUCCUCUUCACUCCGCUUCUAGC